RNAcentral lists this ribosomal RNA (460 nucleotides) under uncultured bacterium. Its description in RNAcentral is "partial 16S ribosomal RNA". It matches the Rfam family "Bacterial small subunit ribosomal RNA", at positions 338 to 795 of the family's 1533-position model. The record is from RNAcentral.
CCUACGGGUGGCAGCAGUGAGGAAUAUUGGUCAAUGGACGAGAGUCUGAACCAGCCAAGUAGCGUGAAGGAUGAAGGCCCUAUGGGUUGUAAACUUCUUUUAUAAAGGAAUAAAACGAGGCACGUGUGCCUUUUUGCAUGUACUUUAUGAAUAAGGAUCGGCUAACUCCGUGCCAGCAGCCGCGGUAAUACGGAGGGUCCGAGCGUUAUCCGGAUUGAUUGGGUUUAAAGGGAGCGGAGAUGGGUUGUUAAGUCAGUUGUGAAAGUUUGCGGCUCAACCGUAAAAUUGCAAUUGAUACUGGCAGUCUUGAGUACAGUUGAGGUAGGCGGAAUGCGUGGUGUAGCGGUGAAAUGCUUAGAUAUCACGAAGAACCCCGAUUGCGAAGGCAGCUUACUAAACUGUGACUGACAUUGAUGCUCGAAAGUGUGGGUAUCAAACAGGAUUAGAUACCCUGGUAGUC